RNAcentral lists this ribosomal RNA (443 nucleotides) under uncultured bacterium. Its description in RNAcentral is "partial 16S ribosomal RNA". It matches the Rfam family "Bacterial small subunit ribosomal RNA", at positions 338 to 795 of the family's 1533-position model. The record is from RNAcentral.
CCUACGGGUGGCAGCAGUGGGGAAUAUUGGGCAAUGGGCGCAAGCCUGACCCAGCAAUGCCGCGUGAAGGAAGAAGGCUUUCGGGUUGUAAACUUCUUUGACAGGGGAAGAGCAGAAGACGGUACCCUGAAAACAAGCCACGGCUAACUACGUGCCAGCAGCCGCGGUAAUACGGGGGAUGCAAGCGUUAUCCGGAUUUAUUGGGUUUAAAGGGUGCGUAGGCUGUGAGGUAAGUCAGCGGUGAAAUGCCCCCGCUCAACGGGGUGAAGUGCCAUUGAUACUGCCUUGCUGGAAUGCGGAUGCCGUGGGAGGAAUGUGUGGUGUAGCGGUGAAAUGCAUAGAUAUCACACAGAACACCGAUUGCGAAGGCAUCUCACGAAUCCGCGAUUGACGCUGAUGCACGAAAGCGUGGGUAUCAAACAGGAUUAGAUACCCUUGUAGUC